This 45-nucleotide non-coding RNA is filed under the name Schistosoma margrebowiei. The record is from RNAcentral. Lineage: Eukaryota; Metazoa; Platyhelminthes; Trematoda; Strigeidida; Schistosomatidae.
AUCUGACUGACAAGUCCCAAAUAGGAUAAAACGUACGUCCUGGAU